This 253-nucleotide ribosomal RNA is filed under the name uncultured bacterium. RNAcentral's name for it is "partial 16S ribosomal RNA". It matches the Rfam family "Bacterial small subunit ribosomal RNA", at positions 524 to 776 of the family's 1533-position model. The record is from RNAcentral.
UACGAAAGGUGCGAGCGUUAAUCGGAAUUACUGGGCGUAAAGCGCGCGUAGGUGGUUGAUCAAGUCUGUUGUGAAAGCCCUGGGCUCAACCUGGGAAUGGCAAUGGAAGCUGGUCGGCUAGAGUGCAGUAGAGGGAGGUGGAAUUUCCGGUGUAGCGGUGAAAUGCGUAGAGAUCGGAAGGAACACCAGUGGCGAAGGCGGCCUCCUGGACUGACACUGACACUGAGGUGCGAAAGCGUGGGGAGCAAACAGG